UUGCAAUUUCUGUCCCAGUUACCACUAAUUCAUUUGGACACCCGCCCCUGCCAAAAACUCUCAUUACCAACAACUCAAAACUUUCUUCUGUCUCCAAGAAUUUCAGCUUAUGAGGUUCUUUAUUGGCAAAGAAACCAAGACGUGUGUCACGUGUGGUCAUCAUAAUCCGAUGACCCUUUUUGUUUUCUGCGAAAACUUUCAUCACGUGAUCAAUGACAUCGUCCUCCCACACAUCAUCUAAAACAAUG
Molecule: unclassified non-coding RNA, 248 nt
Filed under: Hevea brasiliensis (rubber tree)
Lineage: Eukaryota; Viridiplantae; Streptophyta; Magnoliopsida; Malpighiales; Euphorbiaceae
Source: RNAcentral